GGGAGGAAGCUAAACCAGCAGGGAAGUUGGUCCCAUCCUUUUGUGGUGCUACCUUGCAAAGAGAGGCUUGUUCUAAUGAACUUUCCUGCAAUGCAAAACAACUGGGACUUGGAUUCCCAACUGGAUCGAUUUGGGGUAUCUGCAAUGCGUCGCUUGCAAGUGAUCUGCAGACCGAGAAGUUCCUGGGAAACAGUGUGCUGGAAGGACUGAGAUGGAAUCCUGUGCCUCGUGACACCGUACAUGGUUAUACAGUGUAAGCUAUUAAAAGCAUGUUCUGCUAGGGACUGUGCUGGACCCUUUAAGUCAGUGCUUGUCCCACUAGACUCAUGUUCAAAAAGGUAAGUUUU
Nothoprocta perdicaria is the source of this 347-nucleotide long non-coding RNA. RefSeq lists it as uncharacterized. The record is from RefSeq and is a predicted model, not a curated record. Lineage: Eukaryota; Metazoa; Chordata; Aves; Tinamiformes; Tinamidae. The transcript is spliced from 3 exons.